CAGUCGCCGCGGGAAUACAGAGGGUGCAAGCGUUAAUCGGAAUUACUGGGCGUAAAGCGCGCGUAGGUGGUUUGUUAAGUUGGAUGUGAAAGCCCCGGGCUCAACCUGGGAACUGCAUCCAAAACUGGCAAGCUAGAGUACGGUAGAGGGUGGUGGAAUUUCCUGUGUAGCGGUGAAAUGCGUAGAUAUAGGAAGGAACACCAGUGGCGAAGGCGACCACCUGGACUGAUACUGACACUGAGGUGCGAAAGCGUGGGGAGCAAACAGGAUUAGAUACCCGCGUAGUCCCUGUCUCUUAUAC
RNAcentral lists this ribosomal RNA (301 nucleotides) under uncultured bacterium. RNAcentral describes it as "partial 16S ribosomal RNA". It matches the Rfam family "Bacterial small subunit ribosomal RNA", at positions 509 to 807 of the family's 1533-position model. The record is from RNAcentral.